GUCACACGGUGUGAACAACGGGCUGGACGAAGCUCCGACAGCGGCCGUCAGUCCUACUUUCCCGCCCAAGGCCGCCGUCACACUACGCUUCCAGGUUGCCUAGCAACACAACGGAAACACCACUACUGUGCGCAAUGACUCGGAUAGACCCGGAUCGGUGAUGCCCGACUUUAGCCAGCAUGAAGCAGCCACUCCACCCAAUCCAUGGCCUCCUCACCUGAUCGUUGGAAGCAUCGCUAAGCCAGUCAUAGCUAGGCUGCAGGAUUUCGAGUUUUGACAACAGACAUAAAUCCAAGAUGUGGUUGGUUGGUUGGCGUGCAGUCCCACCACAGGCAGACCCUUACCAAUGACAAUCUCCGCACAGCUGAUCCAAUCCUCUCUGAGCUCCUGUGACUGUCUGAGGCCUUACUCCUGGACAAACUUCUGCACAAAAGAUGUGAAAUCGAUCAUUUAUGUGAGAAAUUUUAACAAUAAAAAACGUAAGCACAUUAUCAAGUUGUUUAAUGGAUAGAUCCUCUCCGUCACCCAAAAAUUAAAGUGUAACUGUCAUUUCAAAUAAAUUUGCAUAAAUCAAUAGUUUAAGCAAAUAUAAGACACUGUACUACAUGUUUUCAGAGAAAAAAGUUUUUUUCUCCACACCCAAGGAUACUUUCCUCCCUCUCCAAC
Molecule: long non-coding RNA, 666 nt
Organism: Hyla sarda
Lineage: Eukaryota; Metazoa; Chordata; Amphibia; Anura; Hylidae
Exons: 3
Source: RefSeq, a predicted model, not a curated record